This 723-nucleotide long non-coding RNA is filed under the name Amborella trichopoda. RNAcentral's name for it is "long non-coding RNA (ATRI_LNC001656)". The record is from RNAcentral. Lineage: Eukaryota; Viridiplantae; Streptophyta; Magnoliopsida; Amborellales; Amborellaceae.
UCUUUCUCUCUCUAAAACUAACCUUAAAAACACACUCUUUCUAUCUCUAAAGAUAGGGCCACUCUUAUGUUGGUGAAAAUGGCUGGAAAUGAGAAUAUGUGGAGGUUUCCUUUUUGAAAUUCUCGAUAAAGUUUCGGGAAACAAGGGGGGUGCGUAACAACUAUAAAUCAAUUUCAGUGGAAUUUUUUUGACUCUUUAGAGAGAGAGAGUGAGAGAUUUGUAAAUCAAUUUAGUGGAAUUUUAUAGUGAGAGAAAGAAGAAAGAAAGAGGGGGAGAAUUAUAGUUGGAUUUUUUGAGUGGUUGAGAGAGAAGAGAAGAGAGGAGAGAGAGAGAGAGAGUAGAAAGAGAAAAAGUUGGGAUUGGAUGGGACUGGGAUUCACUCUCAUCGGCUCUUAAAAAUCCACCUACUUCGCACCGCACACUCUCUCUCUCUUCUCUGGUUUUCGCCACCUCUUUCAUCUCUCUUUUUGGAGAUUUCUCUCGCUCCACUAUCAGAUCUCGGCCACCACGUUUAGCAGUGUCGAUACCCCAAUUCGCCACCAAAAUUAGCGGCAAUUUCCUCAAUCGCUACGAAAUUUAGCGGCGCAAAAGUAAAUCCACCACAAAAAAUACCAUUUGCAACCCCUUUCCCCCACCAAAUUUAGCGGCGCCACUAAACGGUCCGUUACUUCCUCCCGCCCACCACCAGAAACCCCCACUUCUACCUCUUCGCCCGUCCCCNNN